RNAcentral lists this ribosomal RNA (304 nucleotides) under Variovorax sp. WS11. RNAcentral describes it as "partial 23S ribosomal RNA". It matches the Rfam family "Bacterial large subunit ribosomal RNA", at positions 2639 to 2925 of the family's 2925-position model. Lineage: Bacteria; Pseudomonadati; Pseudomonadota; Betaproteobacteria; Burkholderiales; Comamonadaceae. The record is from RNAcentral.
UAUCUGCCGUGGGCGCUGGAGAAUUGAGGGGGGCUGCUCCUAGUACGAGAGGACCGGAGUGGACGCAUCACUGGUGUUCGGGUUGUCAUGCCAAUGGCACUGCCCGGUAGCUAAAUGCGGAAGAGAUAAGUGCUGAAAGCAUCUAAGCACGAAACUUGCCCCGAGAUGAGUUCUCCCUGAGACUUUAAGUCUCCUGAAGGAACGUUGAAGACGAUGACGUUGAUAGGCCGGGUGUGUAAGCGCAGCGAUGCGUUGAGCUAACCGGUACUAAUGAACCGUGAGGCUUAACCUUACAACGCCGAAG